GUCGCUGGUCCCCGGCAACACGGCUCAGGCAAACGUAAGCGGCUUGUCGCAGAAACCAAGGGGUCCACGAAACGCGCUAGGCUAGAAGGCGGGAAGGAGAGAUUACUGACAGCCGUGCCAGCCAAUAAAAUAGAAAUCAACAGUGAGAGCUCAGAAAUUCCCAGACUGUUUUGAUGAUAAGGUCCAAGAACUUGCCAUGUGAUCCAUCACUACUAGACUCCCACAACUGCAUUAGAUUUGUUCAGGAUUUUCAUAUAAUUUUCAUAACUGGCUAAGUUCUGAAAUAACCCAUCUUGAAGACAUAAACAAUGUGCAUUGAUGGCUAGCCAGACUCUGUCCUGCCACAGUUCUCCUCCUACUCUUCAUUUCUUACCCCAAGGAGUAGUAAACAUGAAUCCUGACCCACCAAUGCAGUCCCAGAACUGAGAAAAGAUUCACUGCAGCUAAACACAUUGGAAAUGGAUGGGGAGAAGGCCUGAUGAAAAUUACUGAGGAAGCCUCUUAGCCUAUGUGCUCUGAGAGUAGUGACACCUAGCAGUCGUUCAAAAGAUGAUCAAGAGGAGCAUGAAAAAAUCCCCUGAAUCCAUUGGCUUUCUUCCCUAUACUGACAACAGUUUACUUGUGUAAGAGAUGCAUGCCUCGACUCCGGACCCCUUCUUUCAUCUGCAAAAUCAGCAGCACCCUCACAUCAUCUCCUGUAACAAACUCUCUCUGUCUCCUCCAUAUAAGGUCACUGAUGGUUACAUUUAGGGUCCAUGAUAUAAGGCCCUCUCCAGGGUGCCUGAGUUUGUUGUUUCAUCACAGAAUUACACGGAAGAGACUGGAAAGAUAACUCUUCAAAUGUCAAAUCAUUCCCCUAUAAAAAAUUUUGCCACAGCUGUUGAAAUAUGGCCUUAGGGUUUAUGACAGAAUUUGAACCAGCCCCAUGGAAAAUGCAUCUUGACUCUGCUUUUAUUCCUUUCCCUGCUGAGCUCCUAAUAGAAGAUGGAUGUCUAUUGCUUUUCUCUUGAUAUUCAUGGCACUGCUCCUCUCCAUCCAUAGGAUUAUCUUAUAGAUGAGGGUCUCAUCCUUUUGCCCAGGCUGGAGUACAG
This 1091-nucleotide long non-coding RNA is filed under the name Homo sapiens (human). RNAcentral's name for it is "HSALNT0375897". Lineage: Eukaryota; Metazoa; Chordata; Mammalia; Primates; Hominidae. The record is from RNAcentral.